This 660-nucleotide ribosomal RNA is filed under the name uncultured bacterium. Its description in RNAcentral is "bacterial SSU rRNA". It matches the Rfam family "Bacterial small subunit ribosomal RNA", at positions 73 to 749 of the family's 1533-position model. The record is from RNAcentral.
GUUACCUUCGGGUAAUGAGGAUGGCGGACGGGUGAGUAACGCGUAAGGAACUUGCCUCUUGGACUGGGACAACUGUUGGAAACGACAGCUAAUACCGGAUAUUAUGAGAUUCUCGCAUGAGAAACUUAUGAAAGCUAUAUGCGCCAAGAGAGAGCCUUGCGUUCCAUUAGCUAGUUGGUGGGGUAACGGCCCACCAAGGCGACGAUGGAUAGCCGGCCUGAGAGGGUGAACGGCCACAAGGGGACUGAGACACGGCCCUUACUCCUACGGGAGGCAGCAGUGGGGAAUAUUGGACAAUGGACCAAAAGUCUGAUCCAGCAAUUCUGUGUGCACGAUGAAGGUCUUCGGAUUGUAAAGUGCUUUCAGUUGGGAAGAAGCAAGUGACGGUACCAACAGAAGAAGCGACGGCUAAAUACGUGCCAGCAGCCGCGGUAAUACGUAUGUCGCAAGCGUUAUCCGGAUUUAUUGGGCGUAAAGCGCGUCUAGGCGGAAAAAUAAGUCUGAUGUUAAAAUGCGGGGCUCAACUCCGUAUUGCGUUGGAAACUGUUUUUCUAGAGUACUGGAGAGGUGGGCGGAACUACAAGUGUAGAGGUGAAAUUCGUAGAUAUUUGUAGGAAUGCCGAUGGAGAAGUCAGCUCACUGGACAGAUACUGACGCUGA